AGUGAACGCUGGCGGCAGGCCUAAUACAUGCAAGUCGAACGGCAGCACAGUGGAGCUUGCUCCAUGGGUGGCGAGUGGCGGACGGGUGAGGAAUACAUGGGAAUCUGCCCAGUCGUGGGGGAUAACGUAGGGAAACUUACGCUAAUACCGCAUGCGCCCUUCGGGGGAAAGCCGGGGACCUUCGGGCCUGGCGCGAUUGGAUGAGCCCAUGUUCGAUUAGCUAGUUGGCGGGGUAAAGGCCCACCAAGGCGACGAUCGAUAGCUGGUCGGAGAGGAUGAUCAGCCACACUGGAACUGAGACACGGCCCAGACUCCUACGGGAGGCAGCAGUAGGGAAUAUUGGACAAUGGGCGCAAGCCUGAUCCAGCCAUGCCGCGUGAGUGAAGAAGGCCCUCGGGUUGUAAAGCUCUUUUGUCCGGGAAGAAAAGCAUCGGGCUAAUACCUCGGUGUUCUGACGGUACCGGAAGAAUAAGCACCGGCUAACUUCGUG
RNAcentral lists this ribosomal RNA (490 nucleotides) under uncultured bacterium. RNAcentral's name for it is "partial 16S ribosomal RNA". It matches the Rfam family "Bacterial small subunit ribosomal RNA", at positions 29 to 507 of the family's 1533-position model. The record is from RNAcentral.